RNAcentral lists this transfer RNA (73 nucleotides) under Candidatus Halobeggiatoa sp. HSG11. RNAcentral describes it as "tRNA-Thr". It matches the Rfam family "tRNA". From Rfam's summary of the family: Transfer RNA (tRNA) molecules are approximately 80 nucleotides in length. Lineage: Bacteria; Pseudomonadati; Pseudomonadota; Gammaproteobacteria; Thiotrichales; Thiotrichaceae. RNAcentral also lists the same sequence under 1 other name. The record is from RNAcentral.
GCCCAUAUAGCUCAGUAGGUAGAGUACACCCUUGGUAAGGGUGAGGUCACCGGUUCAAAUCCGGUUAUGGGCU